Molecule: ribosomal RNA, 513 nt
Filed under: uncultured bacterium
Lineage: Bacteria
Description: partial 16S ribosomal RNA
Rfam family: Bacterial small subunit ribosomal RNA
Source: RNAcentral
GACGAACGCUGGCGGCGUGCUUAACACAUGCAAGUCGAACGAGAGCGUAGAGAAAGCUUGCUAUUUCUACAAACUAGUGGAAAACGGGUGAGUAACGCGGAAACAACCUGCCCUACGGAUGGGGACAACAGCUGGAAACGGCUGCUAAUAGCGAAUACGUUCCGAAAGUCGCAGGACUGUCUGAAGAAAGGAUGGGCUCUAUUUAUAAGCUAUCGCCGGGGGGGGGGUGUGGGUCUGAUUCGCUAGUUGGAGGGGUAACGGCCCACCGAGGCGGCGAUGGGUAGCCGGUCUGAGGAGGUGGACGGGGCCAGUGGGGCUGAGACGCGGUCCAGACUCCGACAGGAGGCCGCAGUGGGGACUCUUGCGAGAUGGGCGAAAGACUGACGGAGCGACGCCGGGCGGGUGAAGACGGCCUUCGGGUUGGAAAGCUCUGUUAUGCGGGUAGAACACUUUUGUGGUUAAUACCCAGGAGAAGUGACGGUACCGUAAGAGAAAGCAACGGCUAACUACGUG